UAUCAAGAUAUCGUUUGUAGGAUUAAAGCUUUUGAGACACACAAGCUUGUACUUUGCAGAGUAUACAGCACUCUUUUUGUCUAUUCUUUUAGUCGUAAGGGCUUUAUCAGUUUUGAAAUUGCAAAAGGGCAAUCAAAUGCCUGAAGAUUACCCCAGAUCUUUCAGAGAAGCAGCUGCAGUUUUCCAGCACGCUCAAGUAUACGACUCUGACAAGAAAAUUGUCAAGCAUAUGAGACCCAUACCACAAGAGCUUGUGGAGUCCCUUGAUGGAGAACUUGAUUUCCUUGGAUCGUAUUUUUUUGUUAUUUAUUUCUUCUUGUUGUCAGGUUAAAUUUAUUCUUACCUACAAGGUUUGCCUGUUUCAUAUCACAUUUAUUUU
Molecule: long non-coding RNA, 379 nt
Organism: Rosa rugosa (rugosa rose)
Lineage: Eukaryota; Viridiplantae; Streptophyta; Magnoliopsida; Rosales; Rosaceae
Exons: 3
Source: RefSeq, a predicted model, not a curated record